GUCCACGCCCUAAACGAUGUCAACUGGUUGUUGGACGGCUUGCUGUUCAGUAACGAAGCUAACGCGUGAAGUUGACCGCCUGGGAGUACGGCCGCAAGGUUGAACUCAAGGAAUUGACGGGACCCGCACAAGCGGUGGAUGAUGUGGUUUAAUUCGAUGCAACGCGAAACCUUACCUACCCUUGACAUGUCAAGAAUUUUUGCAGAGAUGUGAAAGUGCUCGAAAGAGAACUUGAACACAGGUGCUGCAUGGCCGUCGU
This 259-nucleotide ribosomal RNA is filed under the name uncultured bacterium. Its description in RNAcentral is "partial 16S ribosomal RNA". It matches the Rfam family "Bacterial small subunit ribosomal RNA", at positions 793 to 1055 of the family's 1533-position model. The record is from RNAcentral.